UCAUCACAUCAAUUUAGAUGCAAAGUCAGACAAGGAUAAGUGCUAUAUUGUUAGGCAGAGAGGAAAUUCUAGAUUUGCCCAAGAAUGGUUUAGAAUACAGGAAGAAAGUGUUAUCUUAAACAAACAACUAGCUGGAUGCUUUGUAAAUCAACAAAAACUACCCUUUUGCCUUAACAUCAAGUCUUGAUAUUUUGCAUGAAUCAAUAGGAGGAAUGGUGCUCAGUUUUUUCGGUUGAAUACCUUCUAGGUACUGUUUCAUCUACCCUUAUCAGAAAUAUUACCAGAUGAGGAACUUUUUUACUUUCCCUACCGACAGUUUUUGGUUUUCUGUGGGGUGCUAGGUCUGUCCUCAUCAGAAUUGCUUUAUGCACACUUCACAUUCACAAGGACCGACCGCCAUUAGCAAGAAUUAAGAAGUUUUGGUCUCAUCCAAGUACGUACGGUCCCACUUGGAUUAGAUUUGGAUAUGCAAGUGUCCCAUCUUUGAAUGCAACUUUUGUUGGUUCUCGUGAGUUGCUUCUGAAAGUGAAAAAUUGCUUCAUUUCAUGCCCAGUAGUCUUCUGAAUAAAUUAACUACUUGUUGCUUUAUUGCUACGAACUGAAUAUUUACCUGAAGGGUGUUGUGGGUAAUGAUUUUUCUUUCUUCACCAGAGGAUGCUGUGCUGUUUAAUGGUUUUCAACUGGCCAAGUAAGUUUAGGAUUUGUACAAGCAGUUUAGUGAGAUUAGGAUGGAACUCUCAAAGGUCAAUGUUACGCUAAUUGAAUAGCAUAAGAUCCAGGGAAAGAAGGAUCAAAACCUUUCAACUGCAAAAUCAAUACACUGCUUAAUUUGACUAGAGCACUGGCCAACGCCUCAACUUGUGGAACAAAGUAUCCCUUAAUUAGGAACCCAAUUGAUGCAGUUGAUAAUGUUCUGAGAUUUGUUAUCAACUUGUGGAUCAAAGACUUGAGGCAUAUGUUUAGACUUGUUCAUAUAUUAUAAGAACCUGCAAUGCGAUAUUUCUCAAUCCCAAGUGUCGCAAAUGA
RNAcentral lists this unclassified non-coding RNA (1026 nucleotides) under Hevea brasiliensis (rubber tree). Lineage: Eukaryota; Viridiplantae; Streptophyta; Magnoliopsida; Malpighiales; Euphorbiaceae. The record is from RNAcentral.